CAACCAUCUGAUCUUUGACAAACCUGACAAAAACAAGCAAUGAGGAAAAGAUUUCCUGUUUAACAAAUUAUGUUGGCAAAACUGGCCAGCAAUAGGCAGAAAACUGAAAUUGGACCCCUUCCUAACAUGUUACACAAAAAUUAAUUCAAAUGGAUUAAAGACUU
Long non-coding RNA from Sapajus apella (tufted capuchin), 164 nucleotides. RefSeq lists it as uncharacterized. NCBI's taxonomy places the organism in Eukaryota, Metazoa, Chordata, Mammalia, Primates, Cebidae. The transcript has 2 exons. The record is from RefSeq and is a predicted model, not a curated record.